CGAGCGCACCCUUGUCCUUAGUUGCCAGCCUUAUGUUGGGGACUCUCAGGAGACUGUGGGUGAGAACCGGAGGAGGGGGGGGACGACAUCAAGUCAUCUUGGGCCUUUUAUGUAGGGCUACACACGUGCUACACUGGGAUUUAUACAGGGAGGCGAGACACUGAUGUGGAGAGGACCCCUUAAAAAAUGUCGUAUACCGGAGUGUGGUCUGCGACUCUACUCCCUGAAAUCGGAAACUCUAGUAAUCUCAGGUCACAAAAUUGCGGUGAAUACAUUCCCGGGGCUU
Molecule: ribosomal RNA, 286 nt
Filed under: uncultured Marichromatium sp.
Lineage: Bacteria; Pseudomonadati; Pseudomonadota; Gammaproteobacteria; Chromatiales; Chromatiaceae
Description: partial 16S ribosomal RNA
Rfam family: Bacterial small subunit ribosomal RNA
Source: RNAcentral